GAGUUUGAUCCUGGCUCAGAACGAACGCUGGCGGCGUGCCUAACACAUGCAAGUCGAACGUGAUCCAGAGCUCGCUCUGGUGAAAGUGGCGCACGGGUGAGUAACGCGUGGAUAACCUACCCUGGUAUCCGGGAUAACAUUCCGAAAGGGGUGCUAAUACCGGAUAAGCCCACGGGCUCUUUGGAGCUUGCGGGAAAAGGUGGCCUCUAUUUAUAAGCUACUGUAUCAGGAUGGGUCCGCGUACCAUUAGCUAGUUGGCGGUGUAACGGACCACCAAGGCGACGAUGGUUAGCUGGUCUGAGAGGAUGAUCAGCCACACUGGAACUGAGACACGGUCCAGACUCCUACGGGAGGCAGCAGUGGGGAAUUUUGCGCAAUGGGGGAAACCCUGACGCAGCAACGCCGCGUGAGUGAUGAAGGCCUUUGGGUCGUAAAGCUCUGUCAGGGGGGAAGAAAUGAUAUAGUGCUAAUACCACUUUAUCUUGACGGUACCCUCAAAGGAAGCACCGGCUAACUCCGUGCCAGCAGCCGCGGUAAUAC
Molecule: ribosomal RNA, 540 nt
Filed under: uncultured Geobacteraceae bacterium
Lineage: Bacteria; Pseudomonadati; Thermodesulfobacteriota; Desulfuromonadia; Geobacterales; Geobacteraceae
Description: bacterial SSU rRNA
Rfam family: Bacterial small subunit ribosomal RNA
Source: RNAcentral